AACGCACAUUGCGCCCUCUGGUAUUCCGGGGGGCAUGCCUGUUCGAGCGUCAUUACAACCCUCAAGCUCUGCUUGGUAUUGGGUGCCACCGCUUUGGUGCACCCUAAAAUCAGUGGCGGUGUCACUUGGCUCCUAGCGUAGUAAUACUUCUCGUUAUAGAGCUUAGGUGUAUGCUUGCCAUAACCCCAACUUCAAAGGUUGACCUCGGAUCAGGUAGGGAUACCCGCUGAACUUAA
This 236-nucleotide unclassified non-coding RNA is filed under the name uncultured fungus. RNAcentral's name for it is "sequence contains ITS2". The stretch from base 1 to 52 matches the Rfam family "5.8S ribosomal RNA", at positions 103 to 154 of the family's 154-position model. Lineage: Eukaryota; Fungi. The record is from RNAcentral.